Cucumis sativus (cucumber) is the source of this 451-nucleotide long non-coding RNA. RefSeq lists it as uncharacterized. The transcript is spliced from 3 exons. Lineage: Eukaryota; Viridiplantae; Streptophyta; Magnoliopsida; Cucurbitales; Cucurbitaceae. The record is from RefSeq and is a predicted model, not a curated record.
GAAUUGAUCUUGUGUGCAUCAUCAUAUCCCAAUUACACAUGCAUCUUGGAAGCUGGUGCCGACUGAGUUGAAAGAAAAAGUAUACAAUAUGAUUGAGUGUUCUUUACAAGUAGGUACGGUUGAAUGUGGAUAUUAUGACAUGAGAUACAUGCAAGAAAUUGUGACUAAGGACACAAACAUUAUCACUGGUGCGAUUGAUACAAGAAGCCCAUACACACAGCUUGAAUUGGAUAGACGAGGGGAGUGGGCUGGAUUUUUAGCUCGGUACAUAUGAUAGACACACCUAGAUAUGAUCAUGUUAAUUUUGUAAAUGGCUAAGAUAUGGGAAUGCUCAUAACCUUUUUUGUGGAAACGUUUUGUUCAUAGCCAUUAUGAGGGCAAAAGAUAUAUGGGGAUAGGCUUCAAUUUUGAUUAUAUAAGACAACUAUUAUCAUUUAAUAUUUUGGAAUAG